GGUUGAUCCUGCCAGUAUUCAUAUGCUUGUCUCAAAGAUUAAGCCAUGCAUGUCUAAGUAUAAACUUUUUUAUACAGUGAAACUGCGAAUGGCUCAGUAAAACAGUUUAAAUGUACGUGGAAAAUUCUUACUACUUGGAUAACCGUGGUAAUUCUAGAGCUAAUACAUGCAGAGAAGCCUCGACUUCGGAAGGGGUGCACUUAUUAGAUUAAACCAACGCUGGGGGUAGGCCAGUUGAUGAAUCAUAAUAAUUUGAACGAUCGCAACUUGAGCGACGAUCCACUCCAUUUU
Molecule: ribosomal RNA, 291 nt
Filed under: uncultured eukaryote
Lineage: Eukaryota
Description: partial 18S ribosomal RNA
Rfam family: Eukaryotic small subunit ribosomal RNA
Source: RNAcentral